RNAcentral lists this ribosomal RNA (253 nucleotides) under uncultured bacterium. RNAcentral's name for it is "partial 16S ribosomal RNA". It matches the Rfam family "Bacterial small subunit ribosomal RNA", at positions 524 to 776 of the family's 1533-position model. The record is from RNAcentral.
UACAGAGGGUGCAAGCGUUGUUCGGAAUUACUGGGCGUAAAGCGCGUGUAGGUGGCGAUGUAAGUCGGGUGUGAAAUCCCUCGGCUCAACCGAGGAAGUGCACUCGAUACUGUGUCGCUUGAGUGUUGGAGGGGAUGGCGGAAUUCCCGGUGUAGAGGUGAAAUGCGUAGAUAUCUGGAGGAAUACCGGUGGCGAAGGCGGCUUCCUGGACACUAACUGACGCUGAGACGCGAAAGCGUGGGGAGCAAACAGG